This is an RNA transcript of Monopterus albus (swamp eel), 1358 nucleotides long. It is a transcript of the gene named crumbs homolog 3b, with no coding region annotated. The record is from RefSeq and is a predicted model, not a curated record. NCBI's taxonomy places the organism in Eukaryota, Metazoa, Chordata, Actinopteri, Synbranchiformes, Synbranchidae. The transcript is spliced from 3 exons.
UAUGACUUCAUGAUACGAUCCGAGUGUCUGAUGGUUUGUGUUUCUCAAGGCAAACACAAUCAGUCCAAAUGUACUGAGCUCCGCUGCUUUUGUUAUUACAAAUAAAUAUAUAAAAGAGAACAAGUAAAUUUUUAAGCUGGACCAUUUCAUGGUAAAGAAAGGAGUCAGAGGGACAGAGAUAAGCAGCUGUUUCUGAUUGGCGCAGAUGGAGCACGUGACCGGGCAGGCGUCAAACCGCCGCACGUCGGCCGUCUCACCUGGACCCUCAACAACCGGCAGGUAACCACUGAACAGCCUGUAUCCCGUCUAAACAAAACGGCAGGCAGCCUACCAGGUGAGCUCCAACAGAAACAGCUUCGAGCGUCUUCAUGAACAAGUCUCCAGUCACAGUGUAAUUUCCAGACCUACCAGCGGUUUCACCUGUCACUUCACAGCAGCAGCAAGUUCACCUGAGCCGGUUAGACAGGAGCAGCAGGACCCGUAGCAUUCCGCCAUGCGCACACACACACAUCCGCCUGUGGCAAUACUAAACUUUGUGUGUGUAUUGGUGUAAUUAUUUUAUAGAGGAUCAGGUGGAAAUUAGAAAAAGGCAUAGGUGAACACAAUUUACUGGAGCUGCAGUAACAGAAGAACCUGUAUUUGUGCUGUCUGUCACCAUGGUAAUGCAGGUGGUAAUCCCCCCUACAGUGUCGGCAUUGGUCUCCACCACAUUGUCCCUGAUCAGCUUGAGUCUGCUGCUGCUGCUCUGUGUCAUCAGGAAGAAAAGGAGGAUGGAGGGAACAUACAGGCCCAGUGCAGAAGAGAGGAAACAGACAGGAGCAGCAGGACCUGAAAAACCUGGCCUACCUUUACCGUUGCCCAAAGAAGAACGCCUCAUAUGACACAAGUGGCCUCACAGCCCUUCAUCCCCAUGUCACAAACCUCUGGAUUGAUUCCUGCCGCUGCGGCGCCGCCUUCCUCUGGGAUGAUCCAUGUUUGUCCUUUGCACCAGAAAACCUGAGACACACUAAACACUGUGCUGCACCUUGUCAUUCCCGGUGACAACCAAUAGACUAUUAGUUCUGUCACCUGUUUCACUGCAUGAAAAGAGGAAAUAUAUUAUGAGCAUGAGAGGUUUGCUCACUGCUAUUAUGCCCUUACCUUGACAAGUCACUCCCUUUAUUCUGCCUCAUAAGAAACAUGAGCUUAAGUAUAUUUUGUAUUUGUACAGAUGUUAGUCUAUUUUUUAUUGUAUUGUGCAUUUUUAUAUGAAAAAUGCACUCAUGAAGGAUGCUAAGUUUCAUAGAAAACAUAAAAGCCACUGUGUAUGCUACACAAGGGGUUUUGUUAAUAAAGCAGGAAUCUGCACACCAGGUACU